This 425-nucleotide ribosomal RNA is filed under the name uncultured bacterium. RNAcentral describes it as "partial 16S ribosomal RNA". It matches the Rfam family "Bacterial small subunit ribosomal RNA", at positions 354 to 796 of the family's 1533-position model. The record is from RNAcentral.
GUGGGGAAUCUUAGACAAUGGGGGAAACCCUGAUCUAGCCAUGCCGCGUGAGCGAUGAAGGCCUUAGGGUUGUAAAGCUCUUUCAGCUGGGAAGAUAAUGACGGUACCAGCAGAAGAAGCCCUGGCUAACUCCGUGCCAGCAGCCGCGGUAAUACGGAGGGGGCUAGCGUUGUUCGGAAUUACUGGGCGUAAAGCGCGCGUAGGCGGACCAGAAAGUUGGAGGUGAAAUCCCAGGGCUCAACCUUGGAACUGCCUUCAAAACUCCUGGGCUGGAGUUCGGGAGAGGUGAGUGGAAUUCCGAGUGUAGAGGUGAAAUUCGUAGAUAUUCGGAGGAACACCAGUGGCGAAGGCGGCUCACUGGCUCGAUACUGACGCUGAGGUGCGAAAGCGUGGGGAGCAAACAGGAUUAGAAACCCCUGUAGUCC